GAGGGCAAAAUAGCACUUUAUGGACUUACACAGAGGACAUCAUGUUUAAUACGGUUCCGGAAAAAUCCAGUCAGAAGUUGUUCACGGAGUUUUCACAAUAACUGCUUCUCAUGAACCAAAGCUGGAUUUGCGCGAGGUCUCCUCUUGAAAGUUGGAUUACUGUGCACUUCUGGAUCACAGGCUAUUCGCAGCUGUACACAUCCUUCUACACUGUAUGCAAACAUGCAACAUCAUAACACACAGUACAAGGAGUCAGACUGGCAUAUGAGGAGCAAAGGAACCCAGGCAGUAGCAUCGUUUCACAAUGUUUCCAUCACCAUCAUCAGUGGAUGCCUUUGCCGUCCGUAGCCUGAGAUUUCAGAUUUGCAGCAAAAUUUUUUUGAUUUUCUCAUUUAUUGGAAUGCUGUGCAGGUAUUUGUACCUUGCAGCCAUCCAUUACAAUGUCACCAAGCCGUAACAAAAGCAGGAGGGAAAGUACAAGGCUAUGUUCCCAAAACACACAAGUGACAUACCUUAUGUGGAUGAUGUGAUCAGGCUUGUGUUUGAUGAGGUAUUUGAAGAUAAGCUGAAGGAAACCCCGAUUCCAAUGGACCUGGCAUCACAGUUUGAGAGACCUUCAAAGGAGGACGUGAUUGCAUGCCAUCUUCAGUGCAG
Paramisgurnus dabryanus is the source of this 654-nucleotide long non-coding RNA. RefSeq lists it as uncharacterized. The record is from RefSeq and is a predicted model, not a curated record. NCBI's taxonomy places the organism in Eukaryota, Metazoa, Chordata, Actinopteri, Cypriniformes, Cobitidae.